Macaca fascicularis (crab-eating macaque) is the source of this 148-nucleotide unclassified non-coding RNA. It matches the Rfam family "Metazoan signal recognition particle RNA". Rfam says of the family: The signal recognition particle (SRP) is a universally conserved ribonucleoprotein. It is involved in the co-translational targeting of proteins to membranes. The record is from Ensembl. NCBI's taxonomy places the organism in Eukaryota, Metazoa, Chordata, Mammalia, Primates, Cercopithecidae.
GCUGGGUAUGGUAGCGCAUGCCUGUAAUCCCAGCCGCUCAGGAGGCUGAGACAGGAGAAUCACUUGAGCCUGGGAGGCGGAGGUUGCAGUGAGCUGAGACUGUGCCACUGCACUCCAGCCUGGGCAACAGAGUGAGGCUCUGUCUCAA